GGGGAAUAUUGGACAAUGGGGGCAACCCUGAUCCAGCCAUGCCGCGUGUGUGAAGAAGGCCUUUUGGUUGUAAAGCACUUUAAGCAGUGAAGAAGACUCUAUGGUUAAUACCCAUAGACGAUGACAUUAGCUGCAGAAUAAGCACCGGCUAACUCUGUGCCAGCAGCCGCGGUAAUACAGAGGGUGCAAGCGUUAAUCGGAAUUACUGGGCGUAAAGCGAGCGUAGGUGGCUUAAUAAGUCAGAUGUGAAAUCCCCGGGCUUAACCUGGGAACUGCAUCUGAUACUGUUGGGCUAGAGUAGGUGAGAGGGAGGUAGAAUUUCAGGUGUAGCGGUGAAAUGCGUAGAGAUCUGAAGGAAUACCGAUGGCGAAGGCAGCCUCCUGGCAUCAUACUGACACUGAGGUUCGAAAGCGUGGGUAGCAAACA
Molecule: ribosomal RNA, 426 nt
Filed under: uncultured Psychrobacter sp.
Lineage: Bacteria; Pseudomonadati; Pseudomonadota; Gammaproteobacteria; Moraxellales; Moraxellaceae
Description: bacterial SSU rRNA
Rfam family: Bacterial small subunit ribosomal RNA
Source: RNAcentral